UUACCGUAUAGUUUGAUCCUGGGUCCCCAAGUCUCCAUGCUGACCUCGUGGAUCCCCAUGGUGACUAUCCAUAACUGGUCUGAAACGAUGAUCCCCCUCCUGGAACCGAGACAGCGUCCAGACUCCUCCGGGAGGCAAUGAUGGGGAAUAUUGGACAAUGCACAUUCCUCUGAUCCAUUCAUGCCGCGCGUGUGAAGUACGUCUUCCGAUUGUUAAGCACUUUAAGUUGGGAGGAAGGGCAGUUACCUACUUCCCGAUUGUCUUGACGUUACCGACAGAAUAAGCACCGCCUAACUCUGUGCCAGCAGCCGCGGUAAUACAGAGGGUGCAAGCGUUAAUCGGAAUUACUGGGCGUAAAGCUCGCGUAGGUGGUUUGUUAAGUUGGAUGUGAAAUCCCCGGGCUCAACCUGGGAACUGCAUUCCCAACUGACUGACUAGAGUAUGGUAGAGGGUGGUGGAAUUUCCUGUGUACCGGUGAAAUGCUUAUAUAUAGGAAGGAACACCAGUGGCGAACGCGACCACCUGGACUGAUACUGACACUGAGGUGCGAAAGCGUGGGGAGCAAACAGGAUAAAAUACCCU
Molecule: ribosomal RNA, 582 nt
Filed under: Pseudomonas sp. Tn23
Lineage: Bacteria; Pseudomonadati; Pseudomonadota; Gammaproteobacteria; Pseudomonadales; Pseudomonadaceae
Description: bacterial SSU rRNA
Rfam family: Bacterial small subunit ribosomal RNA
Source: RNAcentral